AUUGAACGCUGGCGGCAUGCCUUACACAUGCAAAUCGAACGGUAACGGACCUUCGGGUGCCGACGAGUGGCGAACGGGUGAGUAAUACAUCGGAACGUGCCCGAUCGUGGGGGAUAACGAGGCGAAAGCUUUGCUAAUACCGCAUACGAUCUACGGAUGAAAGCAGGGGACCGCAAGACCUUGCGCGGACGGAGCGGCCGAUGGCAGAUUAGGUAGUUGGUGGGAUAAAAGCUUACCAAGCCGACGAUCUGUAGCUGGUCUGAGAGGAUGAUCAGCCACACUGGGACUGAGACACGGCCCAGACUCCUACGGGAGGCAGCAGUGGGGAAUUUUGGACAAUGGGCGCAAGCCUGAUCCAGCCAUGCCGCGUGCAGGAUGAAGGCCUUCGGGUUGUAAACUGAUUUUGUACGGAACGAAAAGCCUUCUUUUAAUACAGGAGGGUCAUGACGGUACCGUAAGAAUAAGCACCGGCUAACUACGUG
This 482-nucleotide ribosomal RNA is filed under the name uncultured bacterium. RNAcentral's name for it is "partial 16S ribosomal RNA". It matches the Rfam family "Bacterial small subunit ribosomal RNA", at positions 30 to 507 of the family's 1533-position model. The record is from RNAcentral.